AUACCGCAUAACAACUUGGACCGCAUGGUCCGAGUUUGAAAGAUGGCUUCGGCUAUCACUUUUGGAUGGUCCCGCGGCGUAUUAGCUAGAUGGUGGGGUAACGGCUCACCAUGGCAAUGAUACGUAGCCGACCUGAGAGGGUAAUCGGCCACAUUGGGACUGAGACACGGCCCAAACUCCUACGGGAGGCAGCAGUAGGGAAUCUUCCACAAUGGACGAAAGUCUGAUGGAGCAACGCCGCGUGAGUGAAGAAGGGUUUCGGCUCGUAAAACUCUGUUGUUAAAGAAGAACAUAUCUGAGAGUAACUGUUCAGGUAUUGACGGUAUUUAACCAGAAAGCCACGGCUAACUACGUGCCAGCAGCCGCGGUAAUACGUAGGUGGCAAGCGUUGUCCGGAUUUAUUGGGCGUAAAGCGAGCGCAGGCGGUUUUUUAAGUCUGAUGUGAAAGCCUUCGGCUCAACCGAAGAAGUGCAUCGGAAACUGGGAAACUUGAGUGCAGAAGAGGACAGUGGAACUCCAUGUGUAGCGGUGAAAUGCGUAGAUAUAUGGAAGAACACCAGUGGCGAAGGCGGCUGUCUGGUCUGUAACUGACGCUGAGGCUCGAAAGUAUGGGUAGCAAACAGGAUUAGAUACCCUGGUAGUCCAUACCGUAAACGAUGAAUGCUAAGUGUUGGAGGGUUUCCGCCCUUCAGUGCUGCAGCUAACGCAUUAAGCAUUCCGCCUGGGGAGUACGGCCGCAAGGCUGAAACUCAAAGGAAUUGACGGGGGCCCGCACAAGCGGUGGAGCAUGUGGUUUAAUUCGAAGCUACGCGAAGAACCUUACCAGGUCUUGACAUACUAUGCAAAUCUAAGAGAUUAGACGUUCCCUUCGGGGACAUGGAUACAGGUGGUGCAUGGUUGUCGUCAGCUCGUGUCGUGAGAUGUUGGGUUAAGUCCCGCAACGAGCGCAACCCUUAUUAUCAGUUGCCAGCAUUAAGUUGGGCACUCUGGUGAGACUGCCGGUGACAAACCGGAGGAAGGUGGGGAUGACGUCAAAUCAUCAUGCCCCUUAUGACCUGGGCUACACACGUGCUACAAUGGAUGGUACAACGAGUUGCGAACUCGCGAGAGUAAGCUAAUCUCUUAAAGCCAUUCUCAGUUCGGAUUGUAGGCUGCAACUCGCCUACAUGAAGUCGGAAUCGCUAGUAAUCGCGGAUCAGCAUGCCGCGGUGAAUACGUUCCCGGGCCUUGUACACACCGCCCGUCACACCAUGAGAGUUUGUAACAUCCAAAGUCGGUGGGGUAACCUUUUAGGAACGCAGACUC
This 1305-nucleotide ribosomal RNA is filed under the name Lactiplantibacillus plantarum. RNAcentral's name for it is "bacterial SSU rRNA". It matches the Rfam family "Bacterial small subunit ribosomal RNA", at positions 166 to 1459 of the family's 1533-position model. The record is from RNAcentral. Lineage: Bacteria; Bacillati; Bacillota; Bacilli; Lactobacillales; Lactobacillaceae.